CUCUCUCUUUGUUCCUCCCAAAACCCUAAUUAACCUUUCUAUAUUUUCCAACUUUCUUUGAAUGGCAACUUCUGAGACGGUGAAUCAGGAAGAUCCUCAACCACAAGUUUUACUUUCUAUCAACCACAACAAGACUCCAUUCCACAACAACAAUAUUAUUACGUGGAAGAACCUGAAAUUCAAGAAGUUAUUCAAAAUGAUCAAGAUGAUCAUUCACUACUAGAAAUGUGUAAUGGGACAUUCAUCCACAUUCCACAACAACCAUAUUAUCAUGUGGAUGAACCCGAAAUUGAAGAAGUUACCGAAGAUGAAGAUGAUCAUAUACCUAGGGCCGUCUCCGAAAAUCCUUAAAAAGAUUUGGGCCAUGGGCAAGUAGAUAAAACGGCCCCUUAUAAUAUAGUCAAUGAUACAAUUUUGAAAAGAAAAAAUAUAUGUAUCUGAAUUAGCACACAGACACACAUAUAUAUAUACACACACAUACUAGAAAAUAUAAUAAUAAAUGAAAAACUGGGGCCCAAAAAUAUAUAUAAACUAGCAGGAUCAAACUCGCACGUUUCAUACGGUGAAAACUCUGUUUGUUUCAACACACUCGCUAUAGCAAAUGAAAGAAAAAACCUCAAAAAUAUAGUCGUAAUAGUCUAAAAUGUGUUCACUUCAUUAGUUUUGUAUAAUAAAAAAGAGAAAACAUUCAAAUAAUUACUAAAAGUUGUUAAGUUUAAUUUAACUUAAAUAAUAAACAAAACAAAAAAACAGUAAAUAACAAAAAAAAACUUUUAAAAAAGUAAAUAACAAAAUGUUUCAGUUUUAAAUUAGAAAAAAGUAAACUUAAAAUGAACGAAAGAACAAAACAAUAAAAAGUAAAAAAAGAUUCUCAUGCUAAAGAAAAACAAUAAGAAACAAAAAGGAAAAAUAAAGGGAAUUUUUUUUUUCAAAAAAUCUAGAACACUUGUGAGUCGAACGCGCGUUGCUUCUAUCUCCUACCUUUUGAAAUGCAAAGUGAAGGCCAUUAAAACCAACAGAUGCCAUACAAAAUGAAUCUAAAACAAAAUACAUAUAUAAACACUAAAUAAAAUUUUAUAAAAAAGAUUCGGACCCCGGGAGAGUUUGGCCUUGCGUGGUUGCCCACCCUUCACUCCCUCCAAACCGGCCUGCAUAUACUAGUGUUGCCUACUCAACCCAUGUCUCAUGAGGCAUUCAUCAGCAUUCCACAACAACAUUUCUAUCAUGUGUAAGAACCUAAAGAAGAAGAUCGUCCACCACCAACGUUACCAACGCAACUAGUGUAUCGUGGGACAGUCGUAAAAAUUCCACGACGACGAUAAUAUUACUACGUGGAAAGUCUCGAAAAUGAUGAUCAUCGAGCACAACAAGUGUUACAUAUUCAACCUGUCGAGGGUGAUUCAAUGUUCCAAGCCGAGGUUAAACGUUUACUUCAGUCGUAUCUGAUGUUACUGGCUAUUAAUCGAUACUUUGAUAUAUCCCAUAUCAAAUGGCUGUUUGUGGUGUCUUUCUAUUGUUUUAUGGUGGUUGUUUGGAGUGGUGGUGCCGCUAUGCGUUGCGAGAAACAUCCGAGCUUUUUUCGCCGCUUCACUACCCUAAAUAAAACGACCUUCUUUAUGUUCGUUUAUGGUGCGUUUACAACAUUGAUGAUAGCUAUAUCAACUGCUCUUCUUCAAAGUAUUAAUUGCCCCUGGCCUCGUCAUUGUAUGUCGAAGUAGAAAAAUGGGUGAUCAUUAUAUAUAUAUAUAUAUAUAUAUAUAUAUAUAUAUAUCCCUUUUUAAUAUAUGGAUAUAUAGUCUCCACAACCAGCACUUACAGUAGAAAAAUGGGUAAUUAGUAUAUGUUAUUGUAAACUAGUGGGAAAGCCCGCGCGUUGCAGCGGGUACGUCUGUUUUGCCGUCUUGUAGUUGUUGUUAGGGCUUCUUGUGUCUGUAUGAUGAUUGUGGACUAUUCCUUAUGACGACAACAUUUUAUGGAAAUAAAAGAUGAAAAUACAAUAUUAAGCUUUCA
This is a long non-coding RNA of Helianthus annuus (common sunflower), 2010 nucleotides long. RefSeq lists it as uncharacterized. NCBI's taxonomy places the organism in Eukaryota, Viridiplantae, Streptophyta, Magnoliopsida, Asterales, Asteraceae. The transcript has 6 exons. The record is from RefSeq and is a predicted model, not a curated record.